RNAcentral lists this ribosomal RNA (155 nucleotides) under Coemansia furcata. RNAcentral describes it as "5.8S ribosomal RNA". It matches the Rfam family "5.8S ribosomal RNA". From Rfam's summary of the family: 5.8S ribosomal RNA (5.8S rRNA) is a component of the large subunit of the eukaryotic ribosome. It is transcribed by RNA polymerase I as part of the 45S precursor that also contains 18S and 28S rRNA. Functionally, it is thought that 5.8S rRNA may be involved in ribosome translocation. The record is from RNAcentral. Lineage: Eukaryota; Fungi; Kickxellomycota; Kickxellomycetes; Kickxellales; Kickxellaceae. RNAcentral also lists the same sequence under 1 other name.
AACUAUCCGUGGUGGAUCACUUGGCUCUUGCAUCGAUGAAGAACGUAGCGAAUUGCGAAAAUUACUGCGAAUUGCUUUAGCGUGAAUCAUUGAGUCUUUGAACGCACAUUGCACUCUGUACUUUUGUGCAGAGUAUGCCUGUUUGAGCAUCAGAU